CAGUCGCCACGGGAACACGGAGGGGGCUAGCGUUGUUCGGAAUUACUGGGCGUAAAGCGUACGUAGGCGGCUUUGUAAGUUAGAGGUGAAAGCCUGGUGCUCAACACCAGAACUGCCUUUAAGACUGCAUCGCUUGAACGUCGGAGAGGUGAGUGGAAUUCCGAGUGUAGAGGUGAAAUUCGUAGAUAUUCGGAAGAACACCAGUGGCGAAGGCGGCUCACUGGACGACUGUUGACGCUGAGGUACGAAAGCGUGGGGAGCAAACAGGAUUAGAGACCCCAGUAGUCCCUGUCUCUUAUAC
Molecule: ribosomal RNA, 301 nt
Filed under: uncultured bacterium
Lineage: Bacteria
Description: partial 16S ribosomal RNA
Rfam family: Bacterial small subunit ribosomal RNA
Source: RNAcentral